RNAcentral lists this ribosomal RNA (468 nucleotides) under uncultured bacterium. RNAcentral's name for it is "partial 16S ribosomal RNA". It matches the Rfam family "Bacterial small subunit ribosomal RNA", at positions 28 to 507 of the family's 1533-position model. The record is from RNAcentral.
GACGAACGCUGGCGGCGUGCUUAACACAUGCAAGUCGAACGGAAAGGCCCUGCUUUUGUGGGGUGCUCGAGUGGCGAACGGGUGAGUAACACGUGAGUAACCUGCCCUUGACUUUGGGAUAACUUCAGGAAACUGGGGCUAAUACCAGAUAGGAGCUCCUGCUGCAUGGUGGGGGUUGGAAAGUUUCGGCGGUUGGGGAUGGACUCGCGGCUUAUCAGCUUGUUGGUGGGGUAGUGGCUUACCAAGGCUUUGACGGAUAGCCGGCCUGAGAGGGUGACCGGCCACAUGGGGACUGAGAUACGGCCCAGACUCCUACGGGAGGCAGCAGUGGGGAAUAUUGCACAAUGGGCGGAAGCCUGAUGCAGCAACGCCGCGUGCGGGAUGACGGCCUUCGGGUUGUAAACCGCUUUCGCCUGUGACGAAGCGUGAGUGACGGUAAUGGGUAAAGAAGCACCGGCUAACUACGUG